UGAUCCUCGGGGGGCAGCAGUGGGGAAUAUUGGGCAAUGGGCGCAAGCCUGACCCAGCAACGCCGCGUGAAGGAAGAAGGCUUUCGGGUUGUAAACUUCUUUUCUCAGGGACGAAGAAAGUGACGGUACCUGAGGAAUAAGCCACGGCUAACUACGUGCCAGCAGUCGCGGUAAUACGUAGGUGGAAAGCGUUAUCCGGAUUUACUGGGUGUAAAGGGCGUGUAGGCGGGACUGCAAGUCAGAUGUGAAAACCACGGGCUCAACCUGUGGCCUGCAUUUGAAACUGUAGUUCUUGAGUACUGGAG
RNAcentral lists this ribosomal RNA (305 nucleotides) under uncultured bacterium. RNAcentral's name for it is "bacterial SSU rRNA". It matches the Rfam family "Bacterial small subunit ribosomal RNA", at positions 333 to 654 of the family's 1533-position model. The record is from RNAcentral.